This 253-nucleotide ribosomal RNA is filed under the name uncultured bacterium. Its description in RNAcentral is "partial 16S ribosomal RNA". It matches the Rfam family "Bacterial small subunit ribosomal RNA", at positions 524 to 776 of the family's 1533-position model. The record is from RNAcentral.
UACGUAGGGGGCGAGCGUUGUCCGGAUUUAUUGGGCGUAAAGAGCGUGUAGGCGGUUCGGUAAGUCUGUCGUGAAAUCCUGAGGCUCAACCUCGGGCGUGCGAUGGAUACUGCCGGGCUAGAGGGUGGUAGAGGCGAGUGGAAUUCCCGGUGUAGCGGUGAAAUGCGCAGAUGUCGGGAGGAACACCAGUAGCGAAGGCGGCUCGCUGGGCCACACCUGACGCUGAGACGCGAAAGCUAGGGGAGCGAACAGG